Molecule: transfer RNA, 82 nt
Organism: Apaloderma vittatum (bar-tailed trogon)
Lineage: Eukaryota; Metazoa; Chordata; Aves; Trogoniformes; Trogonidae
Rfam family: tRNA
About the family: Transfer RNA (tRNA) molecules are approximately 80 nucleotides in length.
Source: Rfam
GGCCGGUUAGCUCAGUGGUUUGAGUGCAGUGCUGACAACAAUGACAACACUGAGAUCGUGGGUUUGAUUCCCGCUCGGUCCU